GCAAGGGUCGCCAGAGGACGGGUCCGCGUCCCAUCAGCUAGUUGGUGAGGUAAUGGCUCACCAAGGCGAAGACGGGUAGCUGGUCUGAGAGGAUGAUCAGCCACACUGGAACUGAGACACGGUCCAGACUCCUACGGGAGGCAGCAGUGGGGAAUAUUGCGCAAUGGGCGAAAGCCUGACGCAGCCACGCCGCGUGAGCGAUGAAGGUCUUCGGAUCGUAAAGCUCUGUGGGGGAGAAGAAGAAAGUCGGUGAAGAGCCGGCCCUGACGGUAUCCCCUUAGCAAGCACCGGCUAACUCCGUGCCAGCAGCCGCGGUAAUACGGAGGGUGCAAACGUUGCUCGGAAUCAUUGGGCGUAAAGCGCGCGUAGGCGGCUGAACAAGUUGGAUGUGAAAGCCCUGGGCUCAACCUAGGAUGUGCAUUCAAAACUGUUCGGCUUGAGUCUCGGAGGGGGUCAGAGAAUUCUCGGUGUAGAGGUGAAAUUCGUAGAUAUCGGGAG
Molecule: ribosomal RNA, 498 nt
Filed under: uncultured bacterium
Lineage: Bacteria
Description: bacterial SSU rRNA
Rfam family: Bacterial small subunit ribosomal RNA
Source: RNAcentral